CUGAUCUCAAAUCAGGUAGGACUACCCGCUGAACUUAAGCAUAUCAAUAAGCGGAGGAAAAGAAACUAACAAGGAUUCCCCUAGUAACUGCGAGUGAAGCGGGAAAAGCUCAAAUUUAAAAUCUGGCAGUCUUUGAUUGUCCGAGUUGUAUUCUAGAGAAGUGUCUUCCGCGUUGGACCGUGUACAAGUCUCUUGGAACAGAGCGUCAUAGAGGGUGAGAAUCCCGUCUUUGACACGGACUACCAGUGCUUUGUGAUGCGCUCUCAAAGAGUCGAGUUGUUUGGGAAUGCAGCUCAAAAUGGGUGGUAAAUUCCAUCUAAAGCUAAAUAUUGGCGAGAGACCGAUAGCGAACAAGUACCGUGAGGGAAAGAUGAAAAGCACUUUGGAAAGAGAGUUAAACAGUACGUGAAAUUGUUGAAAGGGAAACGCUUGAAGUCAGUCGCGUUAGUCAGAACUCAGCCUUGCUUUUUUGCUUGGUGCAUUUUCUGAUUGACGGGCCAGCAUCAGUUUUGACUGCAGGAAAAAGGUUGGAGGAAUGUGGCACCUUCGGGUGUGUUAUAGCCUCUGAUUGCAUACUGUGAUUGGGAYUGAGGAACUCAGCACGCGCAAGCUGUGCUUAGGAUGCUGGCGUAAUGGCUUUAAACGACCCGUCUUGAAACACGGACCAAGGAGUCUAACAUGCCUGCGAGUAUUUGGGUGGUAAACCCGAGUGCGCAAUUAAAGUGAAAGUUGGGAUCUCUGUCGUGGAGAGCACCGACGCCCGGACCAGACCUUCUGUGACGGAUCUGCGGUAGAGCAUGUAUGUUGGGACCCGAAAGAUGGUGAACUAUGCCUGAAUAGGGUGAAGCCAGAGGAAACUCUGGUGGAGGCUCGUAGCGAUUCUGACGUGCAAAUCGAUCGUCAAAUUUGGGUAUAGGGGCGAAAGACUAAUCGAACCAUCUAGUAGCUGGUUCCUGC
This 957-nucleotide ribosomal RNA is filed under the name Ceriporia occidentalis. RNAcentral describes it as "eukaryotic LSU rRNA". It matches the Rfam family "Eukaryotic large subunit ribosomal RNA", at positions 1 to 961 of the family's 3401-position model. Lineage: Eukaryota; Fungi; Basidiomycota; Agaricomycetes; Polyporales; Irpicaceae. The record is from RNAcentral.